RNAcentral lists this ribosomal RNA (936 nucleotides) under uncultured bacterium. RNAcentral's name for it is "bacterial SSU rRNA". It matches the Rfam family "Bacterial small subunit ribosomal RNA", at positions 468 to 1399 of the family's 1533-position model. The record is from RNAcentral.
AGUGUCCGUACCUGAGUAAGAAGCCCUGAAUAAGUACCAGCCAGCAGCGUAGGUAAUAUGUAGCGGGCAAGAUUUAUCUGGAUUUGGUGGGAGUAAAGGGAGGGUAGCAGGCAAGGCAAGUAUGAUGUGACAACGCAUGGCUUAACCGAGGGAUUGCAUUGGAAUCAGUCUGGAUUGCGUGCGGGAGAGGUAAGAUUAAUUCUUAGUGUAGCGGAGAAAUGGGUAGAUAUUAGGAAGAACACCCCGGGGUGAAGGCGGGCUUUCUGGGCGGUAACUGCGUCUGAGGCUUGAAAGCGUCGGGAGCCCAUAGGUUUAGCUACGCCCUGGUAGUCCACCCCGUAAGCGAUGAAGAACUAGGUGUUGGGGGAAUAACUCAGUUCGGCAGUUAACGCAGUAAGUUCUCCGCCUGGGGAGUAUGCACGCAAGUGUGAAACUCAAAGGAAUUGACGGGGGCCCGCACAAGCGGUGGAGUAUGUGCUUGUAUAUUCGACGCAUCGUGAAGAACCUGACCAGGCCUUGACAUCCCUUGCACAGUACUAGAGAUAGUAUAGAGGUUAUCAAGGAGACAGGUGGUGCAUGGUUGUUGUCAGCUCGUGUCGUGAGAUGUUGGGUUAAGUCCCGCAUCGAGUGCAACCCUUGUCUUCAGUUUCCAUCAUUAAGUUGGGGUCUUUGGAGAGACGGCCGGUGAUAUCCCGGAGGAAGGUGGGGAUGACGUCAAAUCAUCAUGCCCCUUAUGGCUUGGGCUCCACACGUACUACACUGGCAGAUACAACGAGUCGCAACAAUCCGCGAGUUGAAGGCAAAUCUCUUAAACGUCGUGUCUCAGUUCGGAUGGAAGUCUCCAACUCGACUUCAUGAAGUCUGGAAUCGAUAGUAAUCGCGGAUCAGCAUGCGCGCGGUGAACACGUUCUCGGCCCUAGUACACACCGCCCGUCA